AAAAUGGCGACACGUGGUUAGCAUUCGUCGCCAACGAGAAAUUGGGGUCGGCCCGAAAGCUCUAGAAUGCACCCCUAUUCCUCCCCGGGGCCAUUCCCGCUCAACGAGUUUUAUGACCUAAAAAACCCCACAGGCUGGUCUGAAGAGGAAGACACUUAAAGAUGAAGUGCUUAAUUCAAGGUCACAGAAUGUCGGGGAUGGACCUCCAGAUUUCCUUACUGACCUGCAUUAUCUUGUGGAUACCUGAGUGAAUUCCACACCACCCAUUUUAUAGAUGAAGCCACUGAGACGUGGAGCAACUGACUGAGUAGUCACUGCCCCACCCCUGCCUGGAGCCUCACACAUGACUUCUCUUAGUGACCACAGGUUGGUUGAGGGGUUUAACAAGGCUAAGAAGAGACAGAGUCUUCUUGCUAUGUUGCCCAGGCUGGUCUUGAACUCCUAACCUCAAGCGAUCCUCCCAUCUUGGCCUCCCAGGUGUCAGGAUUACAGGCAUGUGCUAUCACACCCAACCUGAUACAUUGCCUUUAUAAAUUUUUUUUUCUUUAUUCUAAAAAACAGAAAAAACAAAACUG
This 575-nucleotide non-coding RNA is filed under the name Pongo abelii (Sumatran orangutan). The record is from RNAcentral. Lineage: Eukaryota; Metazoa; Chordata; Mammalia; Primates; Hominidae.